RNAcentral lists this transfer RNA (109 nucleotides) under Candidatus Heimdallarchaeota archaeon. Its description in RNAcentral is "tRNA-Met". It matches the Rfam family "tRNA". From Rfam's summary of the family: Transfer RNA (tRNA) molecules are approximately 80 nucleotides in length. Their secondary structure includes four short double-helical elements and three loops (D, anti-codon, and T loops). Lineage: Archaea; Promethearchaeati; Candidatus Heimdallarchaeota. The record is from RNAcentral. RNAcentral also lists the same sequence under 1 other name.
GUCGAGGUGGCCUAGCUUGGUUUCAGAUGUCCAUGCGUGUUCAUUUGCUAAAAUGGGCGCCUGACUCAUAAUCAGGAGGCCGCGGGAUCGAAGCCCGCCCUCGACACCA